Molecule: long non-coding RNA, 631 nt
Filed under: Struthio camelus australis
Lineage: Eukaryota; Metazoa; Chordata; Aves; Struthioniformes; Struthionidae
Description: lncRNA (ENSSCUG00000001101.1)
Source: RNAcentral
UGGGGCAGCUUUAAUCAUUGCAGACUGGAAUUAACUCCUUCUUCACCACUGCAGGACUAAAGCAAUCAUUCCCAGCUCCACCUCCACCUUCCCCUGAAGGGUAUGAAUAGGUUGGCUCUAGUAGCUGUUCUUUGGCUCUCUGUGGGUCUGCCAGCUUGUAGAGCUCCUUGGGAUGCCUGCCUCCACUUACUUCCCUGGGAUUGAGUGCAUAUUGGCCACUGAGGUAAUGGUUCCACUAUGUAGGAAGCGCUGGUUUUGGAAUGGAGCUACUGAUGUAAACUGCCUACUUCCAACAGACUGGUGAUAAAUCGAUACUUCAUGAUGUGGAGGGCACCACAGCGGCAAGUGAAGCUGUGAAGAGACAACUGCGUGUUAGGCAGCAGCUCUUUGUAGAAGGGUGCCUUAGCUACUAAAAUCUUCUAAUGUAAGUGUCUUACUAUUUUCUUGUUAAGCAUGCUGGAUACCUAUUUAUUUCUACCAUAACAAAGAUGACCGAGGGCAUGCCAUUUCAAGUUACUUUUUGAAGGUUUUUCAUAGGUUUGUGCUAUGAAUAACUGGUAGAGAAGUACAAAUUGCUUUCUCAUUGAGAAGCAUGUUCUUUGUAAUCUGUAUUCCUUUGUCUUCAAAUGCU